Molecule: long non-coding RNA, 779 nt
Organism: Tympanuchus pallidicinctus (lesser prairie-chicken)
Lineage: Eukaryota; Metazoa; Chordata; Aves; Galliformes; Phasianidae
Exons: 3
Source: RefSeq, a predicted model, not a curated record
AAUAGCUUCAGGCUUCCUACUGCCUUCUCGUGCAUAUGGCCCUCCUUUGUUUUCUGUUAGAGAGAAAAUGUCCGAAUUUUAGAUGGUGGUUUUUGCGAUCACAGCAAGAGUUAAGGAAAUUUUGGUGGAUCCAGUGAUGACUGAUUGGAGCUUCUUCAGCCUGAGUUUCCACUUUCUAUCUUUGGUUGCCUUUUGUUUCGUGAGACCACACCAUAAACUCAUACCAGGAACGAGGAAACACAUCUCUGAGAGCCACUGAAUUAUCACACAUAUAAAGGAUCUGGAACUCUGUUAACCAGCCCACCUUUGGCUUUCCAUGAGACCUCGACUUCUGAUGGUCCACAUCUCUCUGAAAGUACUGAUUUCUCCCACCACAGAAAGCCAAUGCAGAAAUAGCCAGAGAAUAGCCCAGCUUUUGGUUUUAUCCAUCAGCAUAAGGUUUUCGUGCAUCAAAUCUGUUUGAGGAUUCUGAAAAGGCUGAUUCAUGGCGUGGUUUAAGAACACUGUUUGUUCCUUCAAGUUCCUGAUUGCUUCCAGGGGAUCCAUUUGGCUUCUCCCGACUCGAGCUGAGAGUCUUUCCAAGAAUAGAGAGAACAGAGGCUCCGAAGAGCUGAACCACAGGCUUUGAGGUCUGACCAUUUGACUUUGUUCUGAUCAGAAAUGAAACCUGAAAUUUUCAAUGAAAGAAAAUUUGUACAAUGUGGGAAACGGUUUUGGGACAAAAUUGAAACAAUAAUUCUAAUGUGGCCUCUUAGAAUGUGACCUUUUUAUCUCUUAAC